Molecule: ribosomal RNA, 500 nt
Filed under: uncultured bacterium
Lineage: Bacteria
Description: partial 16S ribosomal RNA
Rfam family: Bacterial small subunit ribosomal RNA
Source: RNAcentral
AUUGAACGCUGGCGGCAUGCCUUACACAUGCAAGUCGAACGGCAGCGGGGACUUCGGUCCGCCGGCGAGUGGCGAACGGGUGAGUAAUGUAUCGGAACGUACCAUUGAGUGGGGGAUAACGUAGCGAAAGUUACGCUAAUACCGCAUAUUCUCUCCGGAGGAAAGCAGGGGACCGCAAGGCCUUGCGCUCUUUGAGCGGCCGAUAUCAGAUUAGCUAGUUGGUGAGGUAAAGGCUCACCAAGGCGACGAUCUGUAGCGGGUCUGAGAGGAUGAUCCGCCAACCUGGAACGGAGACACGGUCCAGACUCCUACGGGAGGCAGCAGUGGGGAAUUUUGGACAAUGGGGGCAACCCUGAUCCAGCCAUGCCGCGUGAGUGAAGAAGGCCUUCGGGUUGUAAAGCUCUUUCGGCCGGGAAAAAAUCGCAUGGGCUAAUACCCUGUGUGGAUGAUGGUACCGGAAUAAGAAGCACCGGCUAACUACGUGCCAGCAGCCGCCGUAA